UUUUUUUUUUUUUUUUUUUGAGACAGGGUCUCACUCUGUCACCCAGGUCACCCAGGCUGGAGUUCAGUGGUGUGAUCUUGGCUCACUGCAGCUUCAACCUCCUGGAUUCAAGCCAUCCUCCUACCUCAACCUCCCAAGUAGCUGGGACUACAUGUGUGUGCCAUCACACCUGACUAAUUUUUGUAUUUUUAGUCGAAACAGGAUUUCACCACAUUGCCCAGGCUGGUCUCGAACUCCUGAGCUCAAGUGAUCUGCCUGCCUUAGCCUCCCAAAGUGCUAGGAAUACAGGCGUGAGCCACUAUGUUCAGCCUUGCAUAAACAUCUUUAUGCGUGAAACUACAAAUCAUGAAUCUGAAGUAAAAUUAAAUAAUCAGUUUCAACUUCCAAGACAUUUGAAAGUCCAUCUAUUAGGUUGAACUGUAUGAAAUUACUGAUACUUGACAAUUGACCUUCAAAAACAGCAAUUUCAUAUAUUUCAAACAAAAUAAAUGUACAUUCUUGUGCUACAUAAUGACAUUUCAGUCAACAAUGGAUUGCAUACGCAACGGUGGUCCCAUCAGAUUAUAAUGGAGUGAAACAUUCCUGUUGAAAUCAUCCCUAUACAUUUUAUUAAAUUAAUCAGGGAAGAAAGGAAGGGUAGAAAUGAAAAUAAACCAAGCUGCAGUACAUUCAGCAUUAACCAUCAGGUCAGACUGCUCUCUGACCCACUUCCUCACAGUCGUUUGCUUCCUAUUGCCCCAGAGUUACGUGGACCCCAUCUCAAGGUUAUUGUCCCCCUUAACUGUUCUAAAGAUAACAACUUAAGCAUUGUGAAGCAUUAAGUUUUCCAUUCAAGAUAUUCUUUCAGAUCCUGCCUACUGGCAAAACAAAUGUUAAAGAAUGCAAUUUCCACAUUCUAUUGAUUUCAUUCUCCUUGCCCCAGUUAAUCAAUGACCCCAAAUUUUCCGGCCCCAUGCUCUCCAUGACCACCUUAAAAACUCCAGCCCAAAACUCCUUGAGAAGACAGGUUUGUGGGUUCCUCCCAUCUCCUUGCUCAGCUGCCCUGCAACUAUUAAACUUUCUCUGCUGCAAAUCCUGCUGACUCAAUGUAUUGGGAUGUUACUGUGCAGUGGGCAUGCAAACCUGUGGUCCUGUAACACUAUUACCUAGUACCCUGUAAACAUCAUAACGUGCAAUGUGUUACUCACAUGUUUGUGGUGAUGCUGGUGUGAAGAAACUUCCUGCACUGCCAGUCAUAUAAAAGUAUAGCACAAUUCUGUGCAGUACAUAACACUUGACAAUUAUAAUAAAUUGCUCUGUUACUGGUGAAUGUAUUUAUUAUAGUUUUAUUGUUAUUUUAGAGUGUACCCUUUCUACUUAUUAAAAACAAUUUUCUGUAUAAUAGUAUGCUGUGUUACCCUAUCAACAGCCUCAUUCAUCUCAAUGUUUACCUGGUCUCUUGAUUGCAUCAUUUUCUCUUACGUUUGGUUUAAGUAUUAUUAUAAAACAGUCAAAAAUUUAAGAAAAAAAUUAAAGAGUUUAUAAAGUAAAAAUUUUACAGUAAGCUAAGGUUAAUUUAUUAUUGAAGAAAGAAUUUUUUGUAAAUUCAGGGUAGCCUAUGUAUAGUGUUUAUGAAAUCUACAGAAGUGUAAAGUAAUAUACUAGGCCUUCCCAUUCACUCACCACUCAUUCACUGACUCACCAAGAGCAACUUCCAGUCCUGCAAGCUCCAUUCAUGGUGAGUUCUCUAUACCGUUGUAUCAUUUUUUAUAUCUUUCAUAUAAUAUUUUUAGUCUUUCUAUGUUUACAUAUAUUUAGAUACACAAAUAUUUACCAUUGUGCUACCAUAUUCAGUACAGUAAUAGGCUGUACAGAUUUGUAGCCUAUGAACAAAAGGCUAUAUGAUAUUGCCUAGGUGUGCAGUGGGCUAUACCAUCUAGGUUUGUGUAAGUACACCCUGUGAUGUUCAGACAACAAUGAA
RNAcentral lists this long non-coding RNA (1960 nucleotides) under Macaca fascicularis (crab-eating macaque). RNAcentral describes it as "lncRNA (ENSMFAG00000052882.1)". The record is from RNAcentral. Lineage: Eukaryota; Metazoa; Chordata; Mammalia; Primates; Cercopithecidae.